ACAAGAAACACCAUCGAGCGCCAAGUACAACGACUCGCGACCAAGCUCAACGUCAACAAGCAACCCAUGAUGUUCAAUGUUGGAGAUCUUGUGUGGCUACACCUUCGCAAGGAUCAUUUCCCCAAGGAACGCAAGUCCAAGCUACUACCCCGAGCGGAUGGACCCUUCAAGGUGCUUGCACGCUACAACAACAACGCAUACAAGAUCGACAUUCCACGCGACAAGUACUCCGUGAGCGACAUCUUCAACAUCAAAGAUCUAUCCCCGUACCAUGGUGAUGAGGAUUUCGAUCCGAGGUCGGAUGUUUCC
Molecule: ribosomal RNA, 309 nt
Filed under: Triticum aestivum (bread wheat)
Lineage: Eukaryota; Viridiplantae; Streptophyta; Magnoliopsida; Poales; Poaceae
Description: partial small subunit ribosomal RNA
Source: RNAcentral